Molecule: long non-coding RNA, 828 nt
Organism: Mercenaria mercenaria
Lineage: Eukaryota; Metazoa; Mollusca; Bivalvia; Venerida; Veneridae
Exons: 3
Source: RefSeq, a predicted model, not a curated record
AACAAUGCCUGUAAAUUAUUGUUUUAUUUCAAUAGGUUAUAGGGGUAAUGUCUUUAAACAGAAGCAUACUGUUGUGGAGUGAAAGUGCACAAACCAUUGAUAACCCUUUGGAGAAUCAGUACCAGAUGUCUUUUCAAAUGUUUGCCAUUCUGAAGUUUUUUUUGACUGAGCAGUGUCAAACAGUCUUCGGAUCCUAGAGAAUCAGUUCCUCCAAAUGAACAAAUCACCAGUCAUAAAAAUUAUGGGCAGAGAUAUUUCAUGGAAGAGAGAUAACAUGACAAUACAAAAAUAGGUGUUGCAAUGGAUUCGGAGGUGAAGUCAUGAGGAGUUGUUGUGAUGGCAGAAGAAUGAGUGAUCAUUUAGCAUUUUGCACAAGGGUGUACGAGUGGUCCAGUUAAACAGAGAUUACAAACAAUUAAAACUAUAAUUUGAUAUUACAUCUACUUGUGAUUGAUGGAAGUAAUUCAAAGUAUCAUUUGGACAGAUCUGAUGAGUUAACAAAUAUUUGAAAGUAUACGAGGAACAGUUUACACACCUUCAAUAUUAGUAUGUUGUAUAGUAAAUAUAAUAAACAAUUAAAGUUGAAAAACUGAACUGGUUUUCACUUGAUAUACAAAGAGGUAGAUUAGCAUGUUUAGAUUUGCCACUGAACAUGUGUUUCCAUUUCAUCAAUACUUCCUGUGGUUAAAGUAUUCUGAUCAAAUCUAUUUAUUUCCGGUUGAGCUAAUGUUUCUGCAACUUCAAAAAAGAAGAUUUGUUGUGUAACAAUGAAAUUAAUGAGUAGAUAUUAAUAUAUAAAAAAUGUAGGCUAAAGCACGACAUAUAAGA